This 402-nucleotide ribosomal RNA is filed under the name bacterium. RNAcentral describes it as "partial 16S ribosomal RNA". It matches the Rfam family "Bacterial small subunit ribosomal RNA", at positions 355 to 776 of the family's 1533-position model. The record is from RNAcentral.
UGGGGAAUUUUGCACAAUGGGGGAAACCCUGAUGCAGCGACGCCGCGUGAUUUAGAAGGCCUUCGGGUUGUAAAAAUCUUUUCUAUGGGAAGAAAAUGACAGUACCAUAGGAAUAAGGACCGGCUAAUUACGUGCCAGCAGCCGCGGUAAUACGUAGGGUCCGAGCGUUGUCCGGAAUCAUUGGGCGUAAAGGGUACGUAGGCGGGUAAGCAAGUUAGAAGUGAAAUCCUAUAGCUCAACUAUAGUAAGCUUUUAAAACUGCUCAUCUUGAGGUAUGGAAGGGAAAGUGGAAUUCCUAGUGUAGCGGUGAAAUGCGCAGAUAUUAGGAGGAAUACCGGUGGCGAAGGCGACUUUCUGGCCAUAACCUGACGCUGAGGUACGAAAGCGUGGGUAGCAAACAGG